Molecule: long non-coding RNA, 512 nt
Organism: Anolis carolinensis (green anole)
Lineage: Eukaryota; Metazoa; Chordata; Lepidosauria; Squamata; Anolidae
Exons: 2
Source: RefSeq, a predicted model, not a curated record
UGCAGCUCUCUAGUAAAGAUCCUGAUGGCACAUUGAAAACCACUUGUCAAAGGCUGAACACUAUGUGCAAAAUGCAAAAUCCUGUAGACUAUAUACUGGAAGAUAGGUUGAUAACAAGUGUAUUAUGUGAUUGCUUUCUGCGUAGAAUUAUUGUGUGCCUUCAACUUAUCUCAACUUAUGGCAACCUUGCAGUGAAGUCAUAAUGGGAUGAUGAUGAUGAUGAUGAUGAUGAUGAUGAUGAUGUUUACUUAUAUCCCACUUUUUCUCUCCACCACCCAGAGGACCUUUUCAUUGGCAGCCCCACGACUGUGGAAUGACCUGCCAGAAGAACUCAGACACCUAAAAGAGCUGUCAGAAUUAAAAACCAUGUAAAGCCCUAUCUCUUCUGGUAGGCCUACCCAGACAGUCUUUAAACAUGCCGGCUUGGAUCUUUUGGCACGGCACCCAAUGUGCCCAUCACCACCAGGACCACCUGUACUGGUUUCAAGUUCAAUCUUGAGGUCCUGAUAGCG